This 311-nucleotide ribosomal RNA is filed under the name uncultured Pseudomonadaceae bacterium. Its description in RNAcentral is "bacterial SSU rRNA". It matches the Rfam family "Bacterial small subunit ribosomal RNA", at positions 1074 to 1382 of the family's 1533-position model. The record is from RNAcentral. Lineage: Bacteria; Pseudomonadati; Pseudomonadota; Gammaproteobacteria; Pseudomonadales; Pseudomonadaceae.
UUCGGGUUAAGUCCCGUAACGAGUCGCAACCCUUGUCCUUAGUUACCAGCACGUUAUGGUGGGCACUCUAAGGAGACUGCCGGUGCAAACCGGAGGAAGGUGGGGAUGACGUCAAGUCAUCAUGGCCCUUACGGCCUGGGCUACACACGUGCUACAAAUGGUCGGUACAAAGGGUUGCCAAGCCGCGAGGUGGAGCUAAUCCCAUAAAAACCGAUCGUAGUCCGGAUCGCAGUCUGCAACUCGACUGCGUGAAGUCGGAAUCGCUAGUAAUCGUGAAUCAGAAUGUCACGGUGAAUACGUUCCCGGGCCUU